RNAcentral lists this ribosomal RNA (488 nucleotides) under uncultured bacterium. RNAcentral's name for it is "bacterial SSU rRNA". It matches the Rfam family "Bacterial small subunit ribosomal RNA", at positions 30 to 507 of the family's 1533-position model. The record is from RNAcentral.
AUUGAACGCUGGCGGCAGGCCUAACACAUGCAAGUCGAGCGGUAGCACAGAGAGCUUGCUCUCGGGUGACGAGCGGCGGACGGGUGAGUAAUGUUUGGGAAACUGCCUGAUGGAGGGGGAUAACUACUGGAAACGGUAGCUAAUACCGCAUAACGUCGCAAGACCAAAGUGGGGGACCUUCGGGCCUCAUGCCAUCAGAUGUGCCCCGAUGGGAUUAGCUAGUAGGUGGGGUAACGGCUCACCUAGGCGACGAUCCCUAGCUGGUUUGAGAGGAUGACCAGCCCCACUGGAACUGAGACCCGGUCCCGACUCCUACGGGAGGCAGCAGUGGGGAAUAUUGCACAAUGGGCGCAAGCCUGAUGCAGCCCUGCCGCGUGUGUGAAGAAGGCCUUCGGGUUGUAAAGCACUUUCAGCGGGGAGGAAGGCGAUAAGGUUAAUAACCUUGUCGAUUGACGUUACCCGCAGAAGAAGCCCCGGCUAACUCCGUG